UUUCUGUGUUGUUCAGCUCCACCAUCAGCCAUGCAGCUGUCCCUGGGUGUAAAGAGGCCUUUCUGACCUGAUCCUACCAUGCCAUGGACCCUUUGAUUGUUCACCUGGAGCAGUAACAGCUAGCCAUUAAACAGCAUUUAAUGGCCAUGGCCAGAGACUCCAUGUAUGGGACUGUGCUGGCAUCGCUUUAGGAAGGGGAGGGGAUUGGCUACUGGGGUUGACUAGCUCAAAGCAACACAGAUAUAACGAAAAAACCUGUGUUAUAUCACAUGUUCAUCUACUGCCUGCAUUCCACCUCCUGCCGCAGGCGCUGCCGCUUCCCUGCAUGCCCCGGGAACUGCGGACUGUUCAGGUGCUGUGGGGCUACAAGGACAAUCUGAUCUGCUUCAGCUUCUUCUAUGCUCUUUGCUGGGUCACUUCUUAGGAAGAAGGUAUUUCCUUUCUGCUCUGCUAUGUGUCUGUGUAUCAGUUAGGAGGCUGAGAACAGCUGAGCAUCAGCGAUCUCCUUGUGCUGUGUUCCAUCCUGCGGCUCGUCGCUCCAUCACUGAGAUCCAUAGGCUUCAUUUCAGCUCUUUGGCAAUGCUUCUUCUAACCUUGCUGCAAGAAGUCCUUGUGGCCAAUGCAUCCUCCCUAACGAGGCUGACGGGCUGCUGGCGAAAGGUGCCAGAGGAUGGAAGCUGGCAUGCUGAGGGCUUCUGUCCUGCGGUGCAGGCUGCUGGGAUCUGCCUUCCAUUGUGCUACUGAAACAUCAUCAAAGCCAGGAAAUGGGAGUGCCAUUCCAGUGAAAACCUUUGCAGUGCUGCAGCAGAGAGCCUUAAAUUCAAAGCAGGUCUGUAGACUUGGCAUCUUUGCUAAUAAUAAUACAGUAUGUGCUGAGAGCCCGUCUGGAGGCUGUGGGAGAGGGGUUGUGCUUCUGUGGUGAGGAACGGGGCAGCUCUAAUGAUUUAUUCAGCUCUAAAUUGAGGCAAAUUGUACUGAAAGCUGUAGGAUGCUCCUCAAACAUGGAAUUUCUGCUUCCUAAAGGAAUGAAUGCUAGCAACAUAUUCUGCAGUGAAUGUUCCUCUUUCUAAUCUGUUUUCUCUUACCCUUGUUUGGUUUGUACUGGUUUUGCUCCAUGUACUGGGCUGUGUGCUCUGCUGAUUCCCAUUCCCUGGUAGGAACCAAUAUGCAGCAGUCUAUUAUUUCUAAGGCAGACUCUUCUAAUUCAGUCUUAAAACAAUAAUUUACCAUCAGUUACUGUUAAUUUUGUGUUGUCUUUUCCCAGUACUUUAAAAAUCAGAACUAGAAGGCGCUGCAUUAGGCCAGUGAAUGAUUCCAGCUUACACUGCCCACACAUUUGGGAAGGCUGCUUCAUCACUUCACUGCUACAUUUGUCACCUGACACCUGAGGACAGGUCACUGGAUCACAGUUCCUUACUGCCCUGCAGCUGGGGAAGGAGUUUGCAGCCCUUCUGCUGAGAAGACAGGGCUGGGUCUGCAGCCAUUAAAAGGAGCAGAAGAAGAUUUCCUCGAAUUCCUGCAUUGCUGUGAGCUGACACAAGGGCACGGCGCUCCACGCAGCAACCACCAGAUGUGCAGUGCAGGGUGUGUGUCGUGGAGCUAAUUUGGUUGUUGCCUAGAGAGCAAGGAGUUAAAGAGCAAAUGGUUUGCAGAUAGGUGUCUGGAGAAAAUCCUGAGCAGCACUGUUCCUUGGAUGAUUCACUUGCACAUUCCUGCUGCAGUAACCAGAAGCUGAAGGAGCUGAGCUCAUAGGCUGAGUCUGCCUGUGCACCCUAUGGUAGUUUGCACGGUAUGGAUUUGCUAAUGAGGGAGGGCCACAGUGAUCAUUACUUAUGCAGCAUCUCAGGAAAGAUUAAUGGCUGUAUAUCUGGCUCUUCUCAUAGCCCAUAAAUCUUCACUGCAGUUAAUGAGUCUUUAUUGAUUCUGUCAGGUAGGGUAAUUUCCAUUUCUUUCAUCAAGGCACGUUAAAUACACGCUUAUCUACUUUUCUUUUCUUAUUAUUAUUUGUUUCCAGUUAUCUCUUCGCUUGUCUAAUCAAGUCUGGAAAAAAUAAUUGUCAUUAAUUCACUGACCUGAACCUGGGCCGAGCUGUUCUGUGCACUGGCUGAAUGUGACAACUAAUCCAACAGAAAUAUGCAUUAUAUUCCCCUACAUUGCCACCUUGAAACGUCCCGGCACUGCCUCCCUGCAGUACUGGUGCUGCCACAGGGACAGGGACACGAGCUGAAGUCUCCAUGAAGUCCUGUAUGGAACAAAGGCCAGAAGGAAGUCAUGAUUUCAGUGUGUCUACUGUACUGGAAGGAAAAACAGAACAAACAGAUCCUCCUUGAAACUCUUCCCACAACCAAACUUUUAAUGUUUUUAUGAGAGAUCUGCACAUGUAUUCACAUUUAUCAGCAUAUGCAAAUCUCCCACUGAAGGGAAGCAGGCUGUGUCAGAGCAGUGGAGGUAGAAGCUGACAGUAGAUCUCUACAGCUGUCAAAACAACGGCCUGGUAGAAUGCAGCCAUCAAAACACGAGUCUUGUGUGCACAUCUCAGACUUGGCUGUUCAAUCUCUUGCACCAGAAGCUCCUAUGGCAAAUGUUUUUGAAACACGGAUGAUCCGAGUGCAUCAGAAAGAAAGCAAUAGCUGUGACAUCUUGGUCUCCAUCCUCAAAAGGCACUGGGAAUUCCAAACAAUCUAGUAAUUGGAAUUCAUAGCUAGUUUCUGUAUGAAAAGUCAGCUGUAGAAAAUAGUGUGUUUGAAAGUAUCCCCUACUCCAUACAUCAGCAUGUAACCCGGAAGCUUUCCUUCCUUGCAGUUCCCUUUGGGUUGCUUUUCCCAGUAAGAGGUCCUACCCCCUUUUUGACCAGAGGCUCUUGUGGUAAAGGGGAGCGCUGUGGGACUUCCAAGCUGGAGUGGAGGGAGAAGCGGGUAGUGAGGCAAUGCUGUGCUAUUGGAAGUUGUGCUGUUGUAAACCAUGGGAACAGCUGACCUGAGGAAUCUGCGAGAAACAAUCCUCUAUCGUCAGACACUGAAUAAUCUAAUGACUUAUUUCAGUUUCUUAAAAAUUGCCUUUUCAUCAGUUGAAAGUUGCAAAUUGCUGGUUUAAUGAGUCCCAAGCAGAGAAAAUAGAAGUAAAAAUAUAUGCAUCUUAUCUAAUAAAUGCUGAGCACUAGACAGGCAUGACUAAAGCAAACUAACCUGCAGAUUUUAAAUCUCUUAGGAUCUGUUGCAGACAGCUUGGUUCAAAACAGCCAACGAAAGAACAGAGCUGCAGCAGGUCUGCCUCGGCACCACUUGCUGCAGCUCCUGGAGGAGCAGCGUUGCAUUUUCUGUUUGGUAAACUGCUGACAGUGCUAACAGUACCAUCUUUGAAACAGCAAACUGAGCAUGUGCCAUCCCUUUGAAGGACACAUGCUGAAAUGCAGGAUGAGUAGUUCCAGAUAAGCCAGCACAGUAUGUCAGUACCUUCAGCGUGUUGCACAAACUUGCUGAUAGGGGACAAAACAAAAACCACAGAAACAAAAGCAGCUCAACAUAUUGUUCUGGUGAAAUGAGAACUCUCUCCCCAGUGUCUGUAUGCUUUGUUUAAUGGAUCAUGGGAGCCUCAGGAUUCACCAGUGUCUCACGAAGCUGCACCAGGCGAUGGCAGAUGGCAGCAGGAGCACGCGGUGCAAGAAUGCGCCCUUCUCUUAAAUGCAGCAUGAGGGUGGAGGCCCUGGGCUUCUUUCCACGCAUGACUCAAAUGAAUCUUCUGCCUAAUGAGUAGCAUUUUGAAGUCAGCUUAAAAAUCCUAUAGUGAUCCUAUCUAACCAGCUUCUCCUACGUAAAGAUUAAUUUUUUAUAAUGGUGGUUUUCUUUCCAGUUGCCCAGGGCAGUUAUUUGCUAGGGCAGCCUCCUAUCAGCUGAGAUAACAAGGGCAAAGACUGACAGUCCAGCAGAGUCUGGGUUGUGCUCAUUUCUGGGGGAGCAGCGGAUACUAUUAAUGGUGUUCAGGCCUAAAUGGAACCAAGUGUCUCAUUGGGAAAAUAUGUUGGGGAGAAAGGGCUGUGCUAGGGGGCUGCAUACCCAGAUUGUGCUCCUGUUGGAUGACUGGCUGAUAAAACCAGCACUCCUAUAUAACCUUGCAAAAGUCAUUAAUGAAGCUUCAGUGCCUCACAGUGAUGGUGGUGCUCCCAGCUGAUGGAGACAUGCUGGAGCAAGCUGCAGUAACAGUGUCUGACUGGCAGUCUUCCCUGCUGGGUGCUGCUGUCAGGAAGGCACAGUAGAGACUACGUAGGCAUAUUGAAAUAGGGUAUGAGAUCAAAUCAUCUAAAAGAUCUGCAAGGACCCUUGUUGUCUUCUUCCUUGCAGUUUGCAAAUUGCUGCUGUAUACUGAUUUUAUCUGAUUUCAAAUGUAGCUUAAGAGACUGUUUGGUAGGCAAGAGCAUCUCUAAACUAGUGGUGAGCCUUUGGGGGCUGUGUGGCAGGUGACACAGGCUGGAGGUUUCCAUAAGUAUAGGAUCCAGUUGGCAGCAUAGGCUGGUGCCCUUGGAGGUGGUAUUGCUGCAAUGGGCGAUCUGUGUCCUCAGCUGAGCACUGGCACAGAACUAGCUGUGGAUGGCAGAGCCUCGAUUUCUUCUUCCAAGUAGCAAUGGGCUGCAAAAAUUAACAUGAGUAAAAUCCAUCUCCAUCCUAGGAACAUGUAAACAUCUGGACGAGUAGUUAUGAAGAUUAAUGUUAUGCACAGGGUAAGAAUUCCCACUGACAUUUGCUCAGUUUGCCCAAGCAAGUUAGUGGAAACCUCCUGUGAAUAUGAACCGUACUCUGCAGUGCUGCGCAGGCAUUUAACAGCUUGGAUGCCAGUCUCCUUACAGGCACAUCAGUAAGUCUUAGUCUUUAAUUGCCUUAAAAUAUAAUAUUGGAAGAAAAAAAAAGUCAUAGAGGUAUGUGUAACUUUUAAGACUAAGUGGAAAAGAAGUAAACAACAAUAAAGUUAUCCCCAUCUUUGGACUUAAAAUCAGUCCUGACUGAGGCAGUUCUUCAAGGAGAGUGGGUGACAGCUGUCUGUCAGGUCUGAGCAACACGUCUUCUGCACUGAUGAUCAAUGCCUGAAAUAACGCUGAGGUGCAGCAGUAGCUGUGUAUCAUUCAUAGGAGGGUGGCAGCUGCUCCAAGUACAGCACUGAGCGUGAAUGCCUGCUGUCUCGUGGUCAGUGGUUACUGCUGUGCCUGAAGCCUGGCUGUGCCUGUGGUCAGAUGCUCUGACAUCAAAGGUACUGUUGGCUCCUUUGGGCUGGUGAACUUUAUUGAAAGCAUGCCAUGUUUGGAGUCCCAUGAGCAGGUAACGUGCAUCCAUCUGAGCGUGCAGGUUUGAACGUGUCUGCCAUAAGGUAUUUGAAUCUGGAGGCAAUGUGAUUCUUGCUAUGCAAUAAAAUCAAGAAUACACAGUCUUUUAGUGUCUAAACCCCUCCCAGUCCUCCCCUAUUCUGAACGUACUGUUAUCAUUACACCGAUACUUGCUGUGUAAUACACUUUAAAUGAGUGUGAAUGUGCUAUGGACUAAUGUGGUUAUCUCCAUAUGGCAGGAAGUUGCUUGGUCGGAGGUCAUCUCCAUACUGGUGUAAUUCCAGGCAUGUUGCUGGUUUUAAUAAUAUAAUGACGAUAAUUGAUGUUCUAAAACUGGUAAGGUCAGUGUUCACUGGCUGCUACAUUUACUUGGCAGCCAGCUCAGCAGUAUUAACACGAAAUGAGGCACAAAUCCCACGUCCUGCUCCCAGGCCUGAUAGCAGAAUGGGCGCUCCAAUGAAUCGCAGUGCUGUUUACUCCUUUGGCACUCCUUUCUUGCUGACCUCUGCCCAGGUGUGCCAUGCAGCAGGGUAAGACGGGGUGAAGCCAGGGCCAACCUGAAAAGCCCUCACGUGGCAGUUUUGCCAUGACGAGUUAAUCACAGCAUUUGCUGGUAUUAUUCCAGACUUUUUUUUCCCCCUUUGGAUGUGUGCAGGUUCACAGAGUAAAGGCAGGACGACUGUUGAAUGUGUAUUAAUGGCUAUAAGAAAUAUAGGUCCCAGUUUGCCAGUUGUUCUGCCAGGUUCUCAGACAGGAAUGUUUAGGGAGCUUUUUCUCGGCAUGGUGCAAAGCCUGCAGCUAAGAAAAGAGCCCAGGGAAGAUAAUCUGCCUUUUUCCAUGUUCAGCAUUUCCCACCCGGUGUGAACCUAAAUCAUGUGGAUUUCACUACUGGCUCUGCAAUGUUACGGGGAGAUAAGGCGGUAACAACUCAUUUGUAUCCCCAGAUGAGAUAAACCAGAAGCACAUCUCCCCGUUUGUGAGUGGCUUCCUAUCAGAGGUGAGAAUAACUGCGCGGCACUAAGCUGGCAGUCAGCAGUGAUUAAUAAUAGUAAAUCUUUUGCAUAAAUAGAAAGGUGUCAUUGUGUGUAUUUCACUUACAGUGUUUCUAAUGUGUGUCUGUAAUUAAAUUACAUCUGGUUUUCUGUCCAAGAAAUUAAUGUGCACUUACAUAAUGUGUUGGUGCUCUUAUGUUCAGGAGGGGGAAAUGAGUGCUCUGCCUUUUCAAGUGGAGAUUGCUUCAUCCAUAGCUUUUUGGGGGAGUGGAAAUAGAUUUAUUCUAUCUUUGCACGUUCGUCUGAUUCGGUGCUGAAAUCACUGGAGCAAAUUCAGCAGCCCCGGAUGCCUUCAGUUCAGGAUCCCGUUCUGAAUGAUGAUGGAAGAGAAGAAGCGUGUUACUUUGUGCUAAGUAAGAGAAGGGGACUGUAUUGAACACCGAGUUUGCUCGUUUGAUUUGUAAGCAUAUGAAAUAGCCUGCCACAUUCUUCAACUAAGCACGUAAAUUACUUGAAUCGUGGUUGUGUGUUCUGUGUUUGCUGUUACCAUUGGAAGCAGUUUUAUCAGGCUUCAGUCCCUGUGGUACUCGAGAAAGUUGUAAGAAUGCAAAGCUAUCUGAAGGUCAUUUGCAAUCUUAACAGCAGAAAUUACUAGCUGCUGUCAGCUACUAUAAUGGUGUUGAUAUGUGGCGUAAUAGUUUUACAGUGAAAUGGGAGAUGUAUUGAAGGUAUCUGAAACAGAAGCAGAAAACGUGGCUUUGGUGUGCAGGCAGGAGGAUAUUUCAGUGUCAGCUCUGAACACGAUCCCCAUAUUACACUGAGACGCAACGACUCCUUAAUGAUGGAGGCUGCUGACAGUCAGACAGGCGCUUGGAAAUUCCUCUUCACCAAGUGUUUUGGAGGCAGCUGGCAGACUUCCAGAAGUGUUCUGCUGGAGCUGCACAGCAGGCACACUGAACUAGCCUUGGUUGUGUGCCAGUUCACUACGUGGCAGUGGAUCAGGAUUCUCCAGAGAGGCUCUGCAGUCUCCAUCCCUGGGAGACCUUCAAGAGCAGAGUGGUUGGUCCUCAGCUGUGAUCUCAUAGCUGACCUGGGCUAAGCGGGAGGUUGGAUUGGAUGACCUUGUGAGGUCCUUUCCAGCCACGGUUCUCCUGUGAUAACCUCCUGAGUAGGCUCUGCUUUACAUGGGAGGUGGGAGGAAUUUAUAAACCAUAAUGUUAGUUUAAUUUUUUCUUUUCACAGUGGGUUUGCCUUUUUGAAGUAUCCCACUAGGAAUUCUGCAUCUUGGCUCAGUCGUGGCUUGGAGAAUAACCGAGUGUUUCAGGUCAUUUCCCAGUGAGGGAAUACAGUGGGUUCCUGAACAAGGCGGGUAAAGGCAGCUGCUCCACCAUAGCCUUGCACUGCCUGCUUGGUGUUGUUUAGCAUAAGGCAUAACAGCCAGGGAGAAUUUCAUAAUUUAUUUUUUGAUGGCUCGUGCCAUAGUCAAAACAGAUGACAUGUCUGCUAAUCCUGCAUCCAGAUUGCUUUGGUGGGUUGGGGUGGGCAUUGCAUCAUUUUGUUCUCCUAAACUCUUGUGUUUUUUGUCGUUUAGGAUCUGCCAGAACAGCAGUGCCCUGGAAAUAUCUGACUGCACAAAAAUCAAAAGGAAAUUGGAGAUUGGCUUUGUUAAGGACACCUCCUGUUCUAUGGCACUGUCACUCAAUCGCUGUGUGGGAGUGCAUACAUUGUCUACAGGUGGUAGUGAGGAGGAGUCAAAGCUUCAGAGAGAGCUGCAGGAACAGCUGGACCUCAUAAGAGCUGCAAAAGAAGAUUCCCCAGCUAAAACAUGUCCAUGGAGAGCCAUAUGUGCAUAGCUGUUAGGAUUUUGGAAUCAGUGUGGUGGAAUGACAGGGAGAUGAUGGGAAAGUGAUUUCUUGAAACUUCAGCAUAUGCUUUUCAUUUGUGUGAGCUGGCACUGCCACGAGCCAGAGGAGGCUUGCAGCAAGCGGGGCCAUGCGGGACUGGCACCUGCUCGGCUGUGCUCGGGUGACUUCUGGACCUUCUGGUACUGUGAGUGAGCCGCACUUGAUGGAAAGAUGCUGAGCAUUUUUUCUUGACCCCAUGUCAUUGUGGAGUGGUUGCAGCUUGCUGUCACGGGCAGUCUUGUCUUGCAGAGAGCAGCAUAUCCCUGCAGAAAGAGAAAUGCUGUGGUAGCUCUAGAUGCAAGAGAAGCUUCAAGGAAAGUUUGCAUUUAAUUAUUGUUAGAAAUGUGCAGCAAAACAGAUUUCAUUGUUUUUAGCUCUUACAAAGCCAUAUGCCUAUGUCUCUGGGUUCCAAAACCACAUAACGAACAAAACAAAACAAACAAACAAAAGCAAGACCACAAGCAAGACCACAUAGCAGUAAUUAAAUGUCUCUGUUCCAGAAUAGGGUGCGUACUGUGAUCAAGACUGGCAGUAGCAGGGAAGCCAGGGUGCAUAGCUGAAGGAGGAGAGCAGACAGGAGCAAUGGGCAGGGUUUGCAGGGAAUGAGGAGCGUGGGUCUGUGUGCACCCUGGGAAGGGGCUCGUAACCAAGCACACAGUACUGGAACCUGCUGUGUGGUUGUUUGCAGCUGGAAAAAUGCAAUGGAGACAUGAUUCCUCAUGUAAUUCUUAGGUUGAAUCAGUUGGACCUAUUCUUUGCUUACUCAUUCAAAACUAACAUUUUAUUCUGUCCCAGCGAGCUGAAGCAGACUGGCUUACUUCUCAUAGGGUGUCCAUCCAGCUGCCUUGAAGACAGCAGAAGGAACUAGAGAUUGUGGUCACAGUUCAGUGACUGAGUGAAGGGAUGAAGGUCAUUCCUCUCACUGAGACAGUCUCUUCAUACUCCCUGUCACCGCUUCUCUGCUCAGUGUUGUUCCUGCUAAUCGGGAUGCUUUGAAAUAGAGAGAGAGGAUAGUGGGAGGUGCAAGAAGAAAGACUGAAUUGAAGGCAGAAGAGAGCACAGUGGGGAUACAGACAGAAAAACAGGCUACGUGCUGAGCACAUUUAAAGGAGCACAGCUGGAACAGUGCUGGAGAGUAACAAAACUAUCUUUCCAUGUGUGUUUGCCUGUUCCCGUGUUAUUUUUCCCCAGUACUGCAUACAGCAUGGUUUCCCCACAAGGUUAAAGAUCACAAUAAUGUUUUAUGUAGGUAGCAGAAUACCCUGCGUGGAGGAAGUGGUACAUGAUUUUACUUAGAGAACAGAGAUUUCAUGGUUUUUAACACAUGCAAGGAAAUUUGUCUACUGGCAUCUGUUGCGGAGAUGGUAUCCCUUUGACACAAGUCAGGAAGCAAAAGCAUCUGUGGCUGUAAGGACAGUGCUUGCAGAAAACACUUGUGCAGAUAUCUUUAUUCAGGUCUGGUUCCCAUGUAGAAAGAGGCAUGUCCUCAGGAUGGCUGCUGAAUGCCAUCAGCACUGGGAGAGAAAAGAACAGAUGUAUGGCUGUAAACCGAGAUGUGAAAAAGCAGGAAUCUGAAGUUAGCUUGAAAGUUAUUUGGGCUGGGGUAUUGGUGGGAAGUGUCAGUGGGCAGCAGCUCAGAACCUGCAGUAACUGCUUGGCUGCCUGGCUCUUUCUUCAGCAAUCUCACUUGAGUGUUUUCAUGUGCAAGCAGAGGACACUGAUCUGCCCUGUCUUCCACACAUGUGCAUUCAUUCAGUGCAGUUACCUGUGUUGCUGUAGUAUACCUGCCCCUUUGGACUUGAGCACAAAUGUAUCAGGUAAAUGCAGGUGGAUGCAGCCACCGGUAAAGAAGUUGGUUUUUUUUUUCAUUGUGAUUGAUGCGUGGAUAGCAACCCUAUCCCAGUCUUACUAUUGGAUCAUCAGUCAAGACUUGAGGACUGCUGAAAGUAUGUCCUCAUCCCUAAGGUGUUGCAGUUCAGUGCUGGACCCGUCCAAGCUGAGACAAACUGAUUUUUGCAUUCAACAAAGCAAUGAUAGGACAAGAGGGCAUGGCCUCAAGUUGUGCCAGGGGAGAUUCAGGCUGGAUAUUAGGAAGAAUUUAUUUCCAGAAAGAGCAAUGAGGCAUUGGCACAGGCUGCCCAGGGAGGUGGUGAAGUCAUCAUCCCUGAAGGUGUUUAAAGAAAAGGCAGAUGUAGCACUUAGGGACAUGGUUUAGUGGGCAGUAUUGAUGGUAGGUGGAUGGUUGGACUAGAUGAUCUUAGAGGUCUUUUCCAACCCUAAUGAACCUGUGAUUCUGUGAAUGCAUGUGGAGUAUAUGACUGGCAGAAAGGACGGAUGUUGGGACGCGAAGCCUGAGUUCAGGUCUGAUACCAAAUGACUCCUGCAAAUUGGGCAGAGUAGGCUUCUGCUCUCUCCAUGCUUAAUUUCCUAACACUGUUUGGAGCUAGUUGGGAGCAGGAGAUAGUGAGCUGUCCAGAAAAACAACCAUUCCAGGUGCCGUGAUGAGUGUGGAGUAUACAGGCAUUGCACAGAAAGCAGUGACAGCAUGGUCUGCAUUAUCUGGUGAGGUGGUACAUCAUCUGCAUACCUGUGUGAUUCUAUAUGUGUGUAUCAGCAGCCUAUUGUUACAACGUGCUUAUGUGGCAAUUCGUUUGUGGAGUGUACCUUGUGCUGGUGUUCCACAGUAUUAAUGUUCUCAAGCAUGGGAAGACAUCUGUCAAGCAAGCACUAGUAAAUACCAUGCAGCUGUACUUUGUCAGGGUUCCAUUUUGCAUUUCCCUCUUUUCUCUACCUCAACACUCCUUCAGAUCACACUGACAUCAGUUGUGAUUAUGGCAAAAGAAGAUAACUCCUGUUAACCCUGUCAGAUGCUUGCAUAAGAUGAAGGCAUUUUCUUAAUGCACUCAUAAUCUAUAACCAGUUGUUUUUAAAGCCAUUUGAGAACCGUACAGAGAAGGCAUUUUGCAUUUGGUCAGUCAGAAGUUGGUAACUGUUUUAGAAGCCUGCUGGAAGGAAGACAUCAAGAAAAGCUUUUGCAAAGCUGUGUUUUCACCUCACAGUGCUUUGCAGAGAUGCAUUCUUGGGUUCGGUUCAUAUGGGUUCAUUUCUCUGACUUUCACUUUGAAUUUUGGAAUCAAAGGCAUUUUAAAAUUUUAGAUCAAACUUAUUAGAAAACACUGUAUCUCACCUGGUUUCAGCUCUUUAAGUAGUGAAAAGCAGUGCCUCCCCUGCUGUGAUCCUGAUACAAAUCUGUAAGUCAUCACGCCAGCGCGUUUGAAGCUGGGCCUAGCACUUCUGUCCAGAGUACAGCGUUGCUCAGAAAGUUCAUGGCUUCACCUUUGAACAGGGUGUUGCAGCGAAACAGGCAGCAGGCCGGAUUUCUGGGUAGAUGGCAAAGACAGCACCCAGCUUUCAUUUUGGGGAUUUUCCUAGCAUAAAGCUGCCCGAGCCAGAAGGCAGUUUGCGGCCACAGAUCCCUGAUUUUGCUCCUUUGAAUCACAGCUGGUGUCCUUUUGGGUGCAUCAGACGUGUUUGCUUCUGUCCUGGAGGCCGACAUUCAGCCAUCAUGGCCGUGGCUAAGGUCUCCAUCCUUGCCAUAUAGACUGGAGUCUGCAGCAGUAGGGCUUAGAACUUGAUACAAGCCUGAAGGGAGAGUUAUGAGCACAGUGACUGACAGCUCACGACUGUCUGAUAUGUCAGACCUCUGAGACCAGGUCUGGGAGGGAGGGUGAAUACAGUACCUGGGGAGCAGUCCCUUCCCUUCCUCCUGCUGGGGGGCAGUGGGGCUGGGCCUGUCCCUGCUGCCCACCCUGCCCUCCAGAGCACAGCUGCCCCUGCGGUUUCCGGGAAUCCCCGCCUGUAUGUGGUUUCUUAACCAGUCCUGCAAAAAUGUAUUUUUUAUUGAAUGUUAUUCUAGCCAUAAAACUUUUAAGCUGUUCAAAUACUUUCCUUUGUGCAGUAGACAUCUGAGACUAUUAGGCAUUAACAAGUAAAUGUACUUUUUUUUUUUCAACUGCUUCAAUCUGCUAAGGAGUUUUCUUUGGACUGAUUCUCCUCUAGUGUUGUACCAGAGGAAACAUUACUGUGAUCUGAUAUCAUAUCUCCUCACUAUCUGUCUCCUCAGAUUGCAGAUGUGGAUGUGUUUUAUGUUGAAUUACAAAGGGACUUUAUUUUGUGGUAACCAGUUAGGUCAAACAGCUCACCCAUGGUCCAGAAGUGCUUAAAGCCCAGAGGUACCGAUGUGAUUCACGGCAGUCCCUCUGUAGAGCCCAUAGAGUGUGGGGUGAGAGCGUGGGCUUCAGUAAAUCUCAGCUGGAAGAUUUUAGGAGGUGAAUUUCACUAUUUCUUGAGCUAUUUAAUAAUGACUAUAAUCCAUUUUUUAACACCUGUCACAGGAGCUUCAUGUCACUGGAGCUGUUGACUUUAAUGUACUUCAUUACUUGUAUAACGGCAUCAUCUGUUGUUGGCAUCCAAUUAAGUGACAAACAGUGAGAAGGAUCCUGCCCCAAACUGUAUGAGACAGGAAGCAAGCAGCAUUCUUGUAGUUGUGCAAACAGUUAAAGCAGUGCCAAAAUUUGCUUAACAUAUUCCGGAUCUUAUUGAAAUGCUUGGCCUAGUAUGGUUAACUAUACACCUGAAUUGGGCUGUAGACGCUUAUUUCAUUGGCCUGAUAUUCCUGUUGGUAUUCCUGUUGAGGGGACUCUUUUCUUGGGGUUUCAGGAAAGCUCCUUGCUGGGGUUGCUGGGAUCAGUUCUGCCCCGACCACCCACAGCCCAGGCAGCAUCGCUCUCAAGUAAGGCUCAUUCCAUAGCAGGUGCCAGAGGCUUGCCCAGGGCAGGCUGCUCUCAGCCUGUGGAAGAAAGCUGUGUAACACCUCUUAAUCUGUACGUAAUGGUUUGGAUAAGGAAACUGGUAAUCUGAAAACAUUUAUCUGGUGAUGCUUUUGAUUCGUAUGCCUGAGUGAAAUAUUGUGAACUGCUCCCAGUCCUGUAAAUGCAAGGCAAUUAGACUAUGAGGUGAAGUAUAAAGAGGAAUUUGAAGAGCACCAUGCCAGUGAUAAAACCCGUAAAACCCUUGCACAUCCAUCACCUGUGUUGUGGAUGCAGUUCUAAUCCCUGUAUUUUAAGAAGGGCAUUGGGGAGUUAAGAGGCAUUACAGUAAAGAUGAUCGUGGGGCUGAGGCAGCUGUUUUGGGGGGAGAUGAGGGGUGGUUGUUGGGCAAGGCAGACCCAAUAGGGCACUUGUGAUUUCAGCCUUCAGCAACAUAGGUAAAGUAGCUCUCUUCUCUGUUGGACAGAAUGACUGGAGGAGAAUUCUUGGGCCUUUUAUUCAUUAUUUACAUGGCUUUUGUGUCUGCUGGCAUAGUGUAGCGUAACCCAGAAUGCGUAAAAUACAGUGAAGUUGAAAUAUGUGUGAAUUUAAUGCCUGAGAAACAUAAAUCAUGUCAUGCAGGUGAGAUGCAUUGACUGAAUCAAAUGCACUGAACUUCAGAGCCAGUCCUUCUUUGGAAGCAUGUUAAGAACUGUCCACCCCACUCUUCUCAGGGCAUUGUUGUGUGCUCUACCAAAUGAGAUUCUCAAUUCUUCUUGGAAAAAAAAAAGAUUUUUGUUUCCUAUUCUGUCUUCGAGUCCAUCUUUGCAAAGAAGCAACAAGUCUCUGAGAGGGGGAGAUGCUGGUGAGGCUUCAUCUAAAUCAGGCAGGUUUAUAAGACCAGGAGGGAAAACACAUUUUCAGACAUGGUCAAACAGAGGAGCUGGAUGAUUUCGUCUUUGUCCAUUCAUAACAAUGACGGAACAGAAACUAAAAGUUGAGCUUAAAAGAGCAAAAGCUUUGGAAAGAAAACUUGCUCAUGGCUUCAGAGCUGGCUUGGAGUAUGUAGGCAGGAAGCCUGGAGCUUUGUAUGGGAGUUUGGUUUAACCCUAUGAAAAACAUCAUGGAAGAGAGCUGUGGGAACUUCAGCAGUUUUCUGCAGAGUUGAACUAGGAAAGCCAGGAUAGGUUUAAGCAUCAAGGCAGGUUUUUUUUUUCCAGGAAAGCAGAGUUCUAAAAUAACACCUCAGAGGUGUUUGUAGCAUUGGAUUUUUCAUUCUUAACUUCUUAUUCAAGAAAAACUUUGAUUGUUAUGUGUAGGAAAUUCAGUGUUUGUAGCUUAUUACUUGUUUUGCAUGUGAACAAUUUCAGUCAACACCUAAAAAUUUGUUUAUGACAGUUUUGCCACCUGUCCAGUGGGAACUGCUUGACUUUUUAACCAGCCAUUGACUUGCAGAACUGCUUUCAUAAGAUGCAGAAAGGAUUGGAAGGUGUUUUCCUACAGACAGAUUACAGCAACAUCUUUAAUUUCAAGCCUGUUAGCAGCUGAUAGCCUGUUAUCCCAUAGCCUUUACACAGACCUUGACUCUCAUAACCCUCACAAUUAUUCUUCAUCCCACAAAUGUUAAUAUUUACUAUAUAGUCAAUCUCCAAACCACAGGGAGUCAUUUGCAUGCGUGGUAUCACUUGCACUUCAACUAAAUAAAACCAUUAACCUUUCACUGAUACACUUAGGUCAUAGAAGUCACACUUGUAUGGGUUGUGUAGUUUGGGUUAACGCUGUAACAUUCCCUUCUCACCCUUACAGUACAGCACCUCCUGAGCAUGGCAGCCCUGACACUGAUGCUGAACUUGUGUGCCCUGUCCCAGGCGGGGACUGGCACUGGAGCAGGUCGCACUGAGCCAUAAUUGUAAAUUCUCUGGGGCUGGAGUCACCAGCCAGUAAUCCUCUAUGCACAGGCUCCCCCUUAUGGAAAUGAAAGAUACUAAACAAUGCUUUUUUCCUCUUGUCUCAGACAAAACUAAUAGUUUAUUACUGUGAAGACACUUCUCAAGCCUGCAGUAGUACUUUUCAACUUAAAGUUUUAAGUUCGGGUGAUGAUGGAAUGGAUGUAGGCUCACCGUGGCAAACAUGAAUGAUGAUGACACAUGUAUGUGUUUAUACUCAAAGUGAUAAGAGCUCCUUUGGAGGCUGGAAUUUCUUGUGAUUUCCUGAUGGUGAAGAAGGGAACAGGAGCUCUUCAGAUGUUAAGAGAUGCUGCAGAGUAAAUCCUAGCUGUAGCCUCCUCUGUCUUCAGAGGAGCAAAAGAAAGUCAGUGGGAUCAAAUAAUUUAGUUCUGGAAUAGUUAUAUUUUGAUGCUCUACAGUGGAUAUUUUGGAUUGGAUCCUGAUGGAUCAGAACCAUUGGAAGAGUUAGAAAUAGACACCGUGGAUUUUUCCCUUAGCCAAUUCUAGUAAAAAGUUUCAAGUUGUUCCAGUGAGACACACCAUGUGUAGAUUUAGAUAUGCUCUUGCCUUCUUACUUUUAUUUUGCGUGAAAGAUGGUUCCCAGCUUCAUGAAAGCUAUGUGAGAGCAGUUACAGUUCUGUGCUCAGCCUAUUCUGACACUCUAGCACAUGUGCAUGACAACAGUAGGCUAGACAGAGCUUUGGAUUUGCUCAGUGGGGCAGUUCUUGUGACUGCAGGAUAUCUCCUAGUGCCAAAGUACCAUAGUUGGAGCUGAUGCUGAUCAGCAUCAUCUCACUGAUGUCCUGUGUUCUGGUGAGAGGCUCUGAUAGCUUGUGUGAGUUGGGGUGACAGAGCAGUUCUUUCUUUUGCGAGACCAACUUUCUGUUGGCGUAAGCCAUAUAAAUGGGUGUUGUUCAGACAACACCUGAAGGGUCUGCCUGGCUCCCUAACAUCAAAAUCACAUGGGGAGAUUGCUUAAACAUUUAAAGUACUGUUGAAGGUACAUUAUUAGUAACAACAAAUAGUAUUGUUAGUUUUUAUAGUGCUAGUAUUAAUAGUAUCAAACACAUUUAGAAUAUAUUGAAGUUGCUGGUCUGGGCCCUCACCUCACAGAUGAAGUCAUUCCUGUACCAGAGAGAACAGGAGGCACACGUGUCCCAGGGCAGGAUCUGAACUGGAGAGGCACAUACUGGUUUUGCUUUUUUUUCCCCCCCCAUUUUUAGAUUUUAUUAGUAUUAUUGAUUUGUAUUGUUCUUCUAACUUGUUUAUUACCCAGUUUUGAAACCAAGAUCCUAGUGGAGCUACUGGAGUGGACUUUCAUGCUGAACUUGAGUCCUUCUUCCCAUCCAAACUAAAGUAUUCUGCAAGGCAUGGCUCACACAGUGCUUGCAGCCUUUCUGCUUUGCCCGUGUGCUGAAUGAGGUUCAGGCCUUUGUGGGCUCAAUGUGAUGCCCUCCUGUGUUCCUGGUCUCAUUUCAAUGCUGCUAGGGAAAUUGAUUUUAAUUACACAUGCUGCUGAUCACCUAAUCUCAUAAGGGGACAUGGCUGAGAAAUAAAGAACCCAGAAAAAGGAAACUAAUUUAUGCACUCUGGGGACAGGAGGAGUGAUUUGAGUGGUGCAUGGGAAGAGGAGUGCUGGAGAGCAAAAAGAAGCUGAGAUGAUGGAUGGUGUGAUUAAAAACUCUGAUGUUUCUCAGUACAUUCUCCCUUCAUUUGCUUAAAGCAAACACCAUUUCAGUUUUCUCUGGCGGCAUCUUUGGGUUUUAUUUUAUGCAGUCAUUUUUAAUGUACUUUGCUAUCUGGCCUUGCAGUUGUAGGCUGUGUUCUGCAAACCCAACUGAACCAAACUGACAGUGGAGGGCCCAUUGCCUGAGCAGCACAGUUCCAGUUUUGUGUUUGAGAUCAGUUCUCAAGCACAGGGAUUGCACUGCAAAGGCACUCGGGGGGACCGUGAUGCCACCCAGACAAGUCUCAGUGUGCCCAGUUUCUCCGUCCCUCAGCGGUCCUCUCUGCCCAGCACCGAGCAAAGGCCGUGCCCGCAGCCUGCCAGGCUGCCGUAUGCCCGAGUCCC
Molecule: long non-coding RNA, 17032 nt
Filed under: Gallus gallus (chicken)
Lineage: Eukaryota; Metazoa; Chordata; Aves; Galliformes; Phasianidae
Source: RNAcentral